Brachypodium distachyon (stiff brome) is the source of this 165-nucleotide non-coding RNA. RefSeq annotates it as microRNA MIR166d. The record is from RefSeq and is marked provisional. The transcript has a single exon. Lineage: Eukaryota; Viridiplantae; Streptophyta; Magnoliopsida; Poales; Poaceae.
UCGCUGGUGCAUGUAUGGCGCAGUUGAGGGGAAUGUUGUCUGGUUGGAGACCUAGCUAGCAGCUAGCACGGAUCAUCCAUAGAUCGAUUCGACGCUGCAUAUGCGCGCGGUUUCGGACCAGGCUUCAUUCCCCCCAACUCUCAACUCGAUCGAUCUUCUUCGCUC